GAUGAGCCUUAUGUUCUCCAUGGCCCCUGGCUCCAGUUCCACCUGCACCACCGCUCCCAUCAGGCCUUUUCCUCAUCCCCACUAGUGGCACAGGGGAUGCCCCUGCCCCAGUGUGGGAGGAACAGGGCUGCCUGCGGGCGACACAGCAGGGUCCAGCUGACUCUGGAGGCCCCCUGGAGCCUGCUCGGCCCUUCCCCAGCCCGGCCCAAAAGAGAAAAACAACAACAGCUAUUGAAACAUGAAGGAUCAGUUUCCUCGGAGCUCUGGGAACCCGGGGGUCCCAAAGGAGAGAGACUCUCAGGCAGGGGUGGGAUGCACUGUGGGCCCUCCACAGUCAGCUCUUUGGAAGCCGUCAGGAGGCACCCUUCCACCCCCCAGUUUAGAAAAAUAGACACAUCUGUAUUUUUGCAUUUCUGCUCUCCUUGCCUGACUGCUGAUGGCAGCAGUGACCCCCAUGUGAUCCCUGGGCCCUGAGUCACAGCCGCCACCGCCCCCACCACCACCUUCCCAAGUCAUGCCUUCGUUCAGCCCUAAAUGGGAACACACGCUUCAGACCCCACUACGCCCUGGGGGGGUCCCCACAUACGCACACUCACAC
This 598-nucleotide non-coding RNA is filed under the name Pongo abelii (Sumatran orangutan). The record is from RNAcentral. Lineage: Eukaryota; Metazoa; Chordata; Mammalia; Primates; Hominidae.